Molecule: ribosomal RNA, 1354 nt
Filed under: metagenome
Description: bacterial LSU rRNA
Rfam family: Bacterial large subunit ribosomal RNA
Source: RNAcentral
UUACAAACCCAGGUGAAGGGAGAUCCGGAAAGGCAAAUCCGCCGGAUCGUCUGCCAGGAAAAUCCUCUAAGGAGAGUUAGGUGACUGUACCACAAACGGACACACGUGGACGAGAUGAGUAUUCUCAGGCGCUCGGGUGAUGAGUUGUUAAGGAACUAGGCAAAUUAACCCCGUAACUUCGGGAGAAGGGGUGCCCAUGCAAAUGGGCCGCAGUGAAUAGCGUCAGGCGACUGUUUAACAAAAACACAGGUCUCUGCUAAGUCGAAAACGAUGUAUAGGGGCUGACGCCUGCCCGGUGCCGGAAGGUUAAAGGGAGUGGUUAGCGCAAGCGAAGCUACGAACUGAAGCCCGGUGAACGGCGGCCGUAACAAUAACGGUCCUAAGGUAGCGAAAUUCCUUGUCGGGUAAGUUCCGACCUGCACGAAUGGCGUAACGAUCUGACGACUGUCUCAACAACUCGCCCGGCGAAUUUGUGGUUCCGGUGAAGACGCCGGAUGCCCGCCACAAGUCGGAAAGACCCCGUGCACCUUUACUAUACCCUAUCAGUGAAUUAUGGGUUGGACUGCGCAGGAUAGGUGGGAGGCUUUGAGAUCGGGUUUUUGGACUCGAUGGAGCCAACGGUGAGAUACCACCCUGUGUAAUCUGUGAUUCUAACCUGCUUCCAUGAUCUGGAAGAGGGACACUGGUAGGCGGGUAGUUUGACUGGGGCGGUCGCCUCCUAAAUUGUAACGGAGGCGCUCGAAGCUGCGUUCAGGUGGUUUGGAAAUCCACCGACGAGUGCAAAGACAUAAACGCGGUUAACUGCGAGACCUACAAGUCAAGCAGGUGGGAAACCAGGACUUAGUGAUCCGGUGGUUCUGUAUGGAAGGGCCAUCGCUCAACGGAUAAAAGGUACGCCGGGGAUAACAGGCUGAUCGGAGUCAAGAGUUCACAUCGACGCUCCGGUUUGGCACCUCGAUGUCGGUUCAUCGCAUCCCGGGGGUGUAGAAGCUCCCAAGGGUUAGGCUGUUCGCCUAUUAAAGCGGUACGUGAACUGGGUUCAGAACGUCGCGAGACAGUUCGGUCCCUAUCUGUGGUGGGCGCAGGAAAUUUGAGGGGGCUUGGCCUUAGUACGAGAGGACCGGGCUGAACGAACCCCUUGUGAUACAGUUGUCACUCCAGUGGCACAGCUGUGUAGCGAAGUUCGGUUAGGAUAAGCGCUGAAUGCAUAUAAGUGCGAAACCUUCCCCAAGAUGAGAUUUCCCAACCGUAAGGUAAUAAGGGCCGUGGAAGACUACCACGUUGAUAGGACGGGUGUGUAAGAGUAGUAAUACUUUGAGCUAACCGUUACUAAUAGCCCGUUCGGCUUGACCAA